This is an RNA transcript of Musa acuminata AAA Group (dessert banana), 1138 nucleotides long. RefSeq lists it as uncharacterized. The record is from RefSeq and is a predicted model, not a curated record. NCBI's taxonomy places the organism in Eukaryota, Viridiplantae, Streptophyta, Magnoliopsida, Zingiberales, Musaceae. The transcript is spliced from 7 exons.
UCCACGCAAAAUUAUACCCUGUUAACCUCUUAUCUGUCCUUCCUCCAAAACGCCAUCUUUUGAUUGCCCACGGCGACACCAUCUCGCCUUCUGCCCGAUCCCAAAUGGAGUCCGUCGCGGCAUCGGCGGCGAUCCCCUCGUCGCCGUCCCACCUCUCCUUCUUCUCUCCCAAGAGAAUCGCCCCUCGACGCCAAUCCAUAGUCCCGAUCGCCUCCAAGAAUAGGGAAGAUGCGGCGGAUCGUAGUUCCGGAUCGUCGCCGUCUCCCCUCUCCUUCUUCUCACCCAAGAGAAGCACCCCUCGACGCCAAUCCCUUCUCCCGAUCGCCUCCAAGAGUAGUAGGGAAAACGACGCGGAUCUCAAUUCCGUGUCCGAAAGCACCAGCCUCGUCCCUUUCCUCGGCAAUCGCGCCCGCGCACCUCUUUCCCCGUUCCCCAAUGAUACGGCAAUGGGCUUGGUUUUGAGCGCGGCGGCUGGAAGAGGGUGGACGACGGGAUCCGGAAUGGAGGGCCCUCGGAUCCCUGCCUACUCCGAUUCCGCCGAUCAGACUGUUCUCACCUUCCCCUGGUCCCUCUACACCAGGUCUCCCCGCCGUCGGAUGCGUGUGGCCUUCACCUGCAACGUCUGCGGUCAGCGGACCACUCGUGCCAUCAACCCCCAUGCAUACACCGACGGCACUGUCUUUGUUCAGUGCUGCGGCUGCAAUGUGUUUCAUAAGCUGGUAGACAAUCUGAAUCUGUUCCACGAGAUGAAAUGUUAUGUGAACCCGAGUUUCCACUAUAAAGGAGACGUGUCAUUCAAUUACAUGGAUGCAGAUGAUGAUCAGAACAUCUUUCCCAUCUUAUAAGUUGGAAGAACUGGAAUGUGUUUUUGAUCUAGAGCAGAAGUCAUUCACCUCCUCUACAAAUUUUCAUUAAAUCUUCAAGAGGUGCAUGCAUCACCAUUGAGAGAUUGGAUAUUAUAUCUAUCUGACUAAGUUCUUACCAGCCAAGUAAGCUAGCAUUUUCAGCACAUUCAGUAUAUGUGGGAUGAGGUUAGUUUGCUUUAAUGCAUUUGUGGUGUGGUUGUUUUACUUUCAAUAAUUUUGGAUAAAAAUUUCCAUUUGAGAAAUUACGAGUAUUCUAAUUAUAUUUUGAUAGA